Molecule: long non-coding RNA, 400 nt
Filed under: Homo sapiens (human)
Lineage: Eukaryota; Metazoa; Chordata; Mammalia; Primates; Hominidae
Description: non-protein coding lnc-ZBTB33-1:1
Source: RNAcentral
GUGCUACUAGUGCUGUUGUUUACAGGCUGCAGAAAAUUUCAACGCUACUUUUGAAGAUCAACAUUAGGUAAACAAAUUUGCAAGGAAUAUGAGUAGAAUCACAGAGCUGAAGGAAGAAACAGAAGUUAAAAGGAAACAACUCCACAAUUUAGAAGUUGUUUGCAAUGACAUCAUGCUUGCAGAUGAUGACUGCUUAAUGAUACCUUAUCAAAUUGGUGAUGUUUUCAUUAGCCAUUCUCAAGAUGAAACACAAGAAAUGUUAGAAGAAGCAAAGAAAAAUUGGUAAGAAGAAACUGAUGCCUUAGAAUCCAGAGUGGUAUCAAUUCAGUGAGUGUUAGUAGAUUUGAAACUUCAGUUAUAUACAAAAUUUGGGGGUAACAUAAACCUUAAAGCUAAUGAA